Molecule: ribosomal RNA, 1350 nt
Filed under: Triticum aestivum (bread wheat)
Lineage: Eukaryota; Viridiplantae; Streptophyta; Magnoliopsida; Poales; Poaceae
Description: partial small subunit ribosomal RNA
Source: RNAcentral
AUGAUGUUUCGGUCGGGCAUGCGUCUUCGUCGCCAUCCACAGACUUUCGAAGGCGUUCCCUAUAUUGAUCCAGUCUCGCACAUGCGCCAUCGCUCGGUGCUUGGUGCAUGUCCGUCUGCGAUGUUGUCCCCUUCAGAGUCUUCAACAUGCUGUGUUGGUCGCUAUACGUCGACUCCUCUUGCGGCUUCCGUGCACGGCAGUGGACGCUCUACGUCGACUCUUCCCACGACUUCCGCACCUGGUGAUUGUCGCUCUACGUCGACUCCUCUCGCGGCUUCCGCGUUUGGUAGUGACCGCUCUAUGUCGACACCCUCAGUGGCUUUCUCAUGUGGCUCUACGUCGACUCGGUACUCCCGGUCGACUCUGCACGCAGCUUCCACGGGUGGAGGCGAUUGCUCAUCAUCGGCAAGUGUUUUUACCUCGACCUUUUCGGCCGUGUCCCUGUCUGCACAUGAGAUUGCACAGCCGAAAUGCAUGCUUGAUGCUUGGGAUUCUUCACCGACGGUUUCUACAGGUUCUGUGGCUAACUCUUCUGGCACUGAGAAACCACCUUCCACUCAUUCAGGUACAUCCCCAUGGAUUCUUGAUACUGGAGCGUCUUUUCAUAUGACUUAUGAUUCCUCCACGUUGACCUCUUUUCAACCUGUGGAGUCUCAUGUUCGUGUUCUUACAGCUGAUGGCACUCCCCUCCCUGUAGCUAGUCGAGGCACUCUUAGCACUUCUUCAUUUCAUGUUCCCUCUGUCGCUCAUGUUCCUCGACUUACCAUGCAGCUCAUAUCUGGUGGUCAGAUUGUUGACUCUAGUUGUAGGGUCAUUCUCGACUUUGAUUCAUGUUCUAUUCAGGAUCAUCGCACGGGCGCUCUGCUUAGUGCUGGCCCUCGAUGCUCUGAUGGUCUCUGGGAGCUUGACUGGCUUCGUCUUCCCCCCGUUGCGACCACCGCCAGUCUCGCACCCCCUGUAGCUGCAUCUACCAGCUCUUUUCAGCAGUGGCAUCAUCGUCUUGGCCAUUUAUGCGGUUCUCGUCUCUCAUCUUUGGUUCAUCGCGGUGUUCUGGGGUCUGUCUCUGGUAACGCUUCGUUGGAUUGUCUGGGUUGUCGGCUUGGUAAGCAUAUUCAGCUACCCUACCCUCACAGUGAGUCGGUGUCCGAGCGUCCUUUUGAUCUCAUUCACUCUGAUGUUUGGGGUCCGGCUCCCUUCGCUUUGAAAGGGGGUCAUCGCUACUAUAUUAUCUUUAUAGAUGAUUUUUCUCGAUACACUUGGAUCUAUUUCAUGUCUUCUCGUAGUGAGGUCUUACCUACUUACUUACUUACUUACAAAGCCUUUUAUCCCAAACAAGUUGGGGUAGGCUAG